CUCUGGGAUAGCUCAGUUGAUAGAGCAUGAAACUCUUAAUCGCAGGGUUGUGGGUUCAAGCCCCACUUUGGAGG
Molecule: non-coding RNA, 74 nt
Organism: Podarcis lilfordi (Lilford's wall lizard)
Lineage: Eukaryota; Metazoa; Chordata; Lepidosauria; Squamata; Lacertidae
Source: the annotation of a GenBank genome assembly